GAUGAACGCUAGCUAUAGGCUUAACACAUGCAAGUCGAGGGGCAGCGAAUAGAUAGCUUGCUAUUUAUGUCGGCGACCGGCGCACGGGUGAGUAACGCGUAUCCAACCUGCCCAUAACUAAGGGAUAACCCAGCGAAAGUUGGACUAAUACCUUAUGUAUUCGUUUGACCUCAUGAGAUUACGAAUAAAGAUUUAUCGGUUAUGGAUGGGGAUGCGUCUGAUUAGCUUGUUGGCGGGGUAACGGCCCACCAAGGCAACGAUCAGUAGGGGUUCUGAGAGGAAGGUCCCCCACAUUGGAACUGAGACACGGUCCAAACUCCUACGGGAGGCAGCAGUGAGGAAUAUUGGUCAAUGGACGCAAGUCUGAACCAGCCAAGUAGCGUGCAGGAUGACGGCCCUAUGGGUUGUAAACUGCUUUUAUAUGGGGAUAAAGUGGGGAACGUGUUCCCUUUUGCAGGUACCAUAUGAAUAAGAACCGGCUAAUUCCGUG
This 490-nucleotide ribosomal RNA is filed under the name uncultured bacterium. RNAcentral's name for it is "partial 16S ribosomal RNA". It matches the Rfam family "Bacterial small subunit ribosomal RNA", at positions 28 to 507 of the family's 1533-position model. The record is from RNAcentral.